AUUGAACGCUGGCGGCAUGCCUUACACAUGCAAGUCGAACGGCAGCGGGGACUUCGGUCCGCCGGCGAGUGGCGAACGGGUGAGUAAUGUAUCGGAACGUACCAUUCAGUGGGGGAUAACUAUCCGAAAGGAUAGCUAAUACCGCAUAUUCUGUGAGCAGGAAAGCAGGGGAUCGCAAGACCUUGCGCUGAUUGAGCGGCCGAUAUCAGAUUAGCUAGUUGGUGAGGUAACGGCUCACCAAGGCUACGAUCUGUAGCGGGUCUGAGAGGAUGAUCCGCCACACUGGGACUGAGACACGGCCCAGACUCCUACGGGAGGCAGCAGUGGGGAAUUUUGGACAAUGGGCGCAAGCCUGAUCCAGCCAUGCCGCGUGAGUGAAGAAGGCCUUCGGGUUGUAAAGCUCUUUCGGCCGGGAAGAAAUCGCAUCAGCUAAUACCUGGUGUGGAUGACGGUACCGGAAUAAGAAGCACCGGCUAACUACGUGCCAGCCGCCGCGGUAA
This 500-nucleotide ribosomal RNA is filed under the name uncultured bacterium. RNAcentral's name for it is "partial 16S ribosomal RNA". It matches the Rfam family "Bacterial small subunit ribosomal RNA", at positions 30 to 523 of the family's 1533-position model. The record is from RNAcentral.